UACGAAGGACCCGAGCGUUAUCCGGAUUUAUUGGGUUUAAAGGGUGCGUAGGCGGAAUAGUAAGUCAGUGGUGAAAGCCUGUUGCUUAACAACAGAACUGCCAUCGAUACUGCUAAUCUUGAGUACAUAUGAUGUGGGCGGAAUGUGCCAUGUAGCGGUGAAAUGCUUAGAUAUGGCACAGAACACCGAUUGCGAAGGCAGCUCACAAAACUGUUACUGACGCUGAGACGCGAAAGCGUGGGGAGCGAACAGG
This 253-nucleotide ribosomal RNA is filed under the name uncultured bacterium. RNAcentral describes it as "partial 16S ribosomal RNA". It matches the Rfam family "Bacterial small subunit ribosomal RNA", at positions 524 to 776 of the family's 1533-position model. The record is from RNAcentral.